GUGCCCGUAGCUCAAUUGGAUAGAGCGCUGCCCUCCGAAGGCAGAGGUUACAGGUUCGACUCCUGUCGGGCAUG
Molecule: transfer RNA, 74 nt
Filed under: Planctomycetota bacterium
Lineage: Bacteria; Pseudomonadati; Planctomycetota
Also listed under: 1 other name
Description: tRNA-Arg
Rfam family: tRNA
About the family: Transfer RNA (tRNA) molecules are approximately 80 nucleotides in length. Their secondary structure includes four short double-helical elements and three loops (D, anti-codon, and T loops).
Source: RNAcentral